RNAcentral lists this long non-coding RNA (4686 nucleotides) under Nicotiana tabacum (common tobacco). Its description in RNAcentral is "long non-coding RNA (NTAB_LNC005329)". Lineage: Eukaryota; Viridiplantae; Streptophyta; Magnoliopsida; Solanales; Solanaceae. The record is from RNAcentral.
GCCAACAUAAAUACUGCAAUUGACAAGCCAACAAAAUAUACAUAGAGGGCCUACAAGCCCAACAUACUGCAAUAACUGACAGGAUAUGUCUACAAGCCUCUACUGAUGGACAUACUGUGAUGGGCAUACUGUGAUCGGAACAGGGCCCCGACCUACCCAUAACCUAUCUACAUAUAGAUGUAUACAAAACUCUAGACUUGAAAACUCCGAAGUACGUGGAGCUUACCGAUAAAGCUGAACUCGGGCAACACCUACUAAGGAGGUCUACCCGUCUGUCUAUCUGAACCUGAACGCAUGAAUGUAGCAUCCCCAGAAAAGGGACGUCAGCACAAAAUAAUGUACCGAGUAUGCAAGGCAAUAAUAUAACUGAAAGUUGAAAUUGAACUAAUAAUAUAAUAGCUGGAAGUAACUAGAAGUCAAAGAUAAUCUAAAGAUAUGCUCACCUAUUGAUACUGACUCAACUCUCUCAAUAUAGUAAGUAAAAUAGUUGUCCGGUCUUAUAAGGCUCGGUAUAUAUAUAACUGCUCUUCCGUAGUAGGUUCGCUCAUAGGCGCUCGGCCAUACUAGGCUCUGUAUCUCGGCUAUGCUGGGCUCGCUCAUAGGCGCUCAGCCAUAAUAGGCUCGGUAUAUAACUUACCAUCUGAUCAGAGAUUGCCCAAUAGGGGCUCGCCCAUCGACUAUAGCUCGAUGGUAAUGAAAAUAAUGUAAUAUUGUAUAUAUAAACUUUCUGCUCUCUUGACUGGAAGAAGGAAAUACUCAAUUGAAUAUGAAGUCCCGAUAAGGAGAAUACUGUAACUUACGAGACUAGAAAAAUAUACGUAAAUUCCAGGAUAUGAAUUUUUCUUUAUGCCUAGUUAUCAAACUCGUGUAGUUACGAGAUCAUGAAAAAUGGAGGAAGAGCUUAGCCUUAACAUACCUGGAGUAGAAAAAUAUCCGUAUGAUGUUCUUGGAAAUGGUUGCACUAUACUCCUUUAGAACCGCAAAAUUUUACGUUGCUAAUAAUUCUCGUUGGAUUUCUUUUGGUUGCAAGAAUUCACAUUUUUUUGUGGGAAAUUGGUAAGAAAUCACGUUGAACUCUCACGUCUGAUUGUAAUGUUUUGUUGGCAUUAAAUUAUUAGUGUUUGAGAAUGAAAUAUAGUUUGUAUCUAAAAUCUUAGAAUAAGGUGUCUUGAAAUCACUAUAAUAGGUUGCCACCUAAUCAAAAAUGACCAUGAGUCAUUUGUUUGAUUAUGGUCUUGCUGCCACGUGGGGGUGGGGGAGAAAUUUUUAAUCUUUAUCAAACUUAUUAGUUAAUUAGGUAAUGUCCCGUUAUCCGGUAAUUAAUUAAUUACCCGCAUAAUUAAGAAUUAUCUCAAAUUAUUUAAAAUUCUACUCAUUUUUAAUAUACUUUAUACAUCAUACUAUUAUGGUCAUACCUUGUAUAGUACUAGUCCAUAAAUAUUGCUCGGACCGUAUUUUAUCCCAAAUCGACAAUCUUCAACGAAACUCAUUUUAUUCUAUUUUCUUACCUUCUCUCCUUCACGAAUUUACCCAUCAUGUGUUUGAAAUAGCAUAAUGCUUAUAAUCUCAAGAAAAUCUCAUCCCAGAGUCUACGUCAAUUAACUGAAGACGAAACUUCAACAUACGAGAAACGCGAGAUGUAACAUUACCGGUGGAAAGUUUGGAUCCAGACUUAGCUUGUGAACCACUAUCUCCAAUGGGAUACCUAUCAUAUCUGAGUGCGACCACGUAAGUCAACAUUAUCUUUAAGAAAAUUUAUAAAUUCUAACUUGAGAUCGGGAUUUAAUCGUGUUCCCAGAUGAAACUUCAUUUCCAAAAACUCUUUGAACAAGGCCACUUGCUCGAGUUCUUCUAUGGUCGACUUGAUCGAAUCUGUCUCCUCUGUUAUCUGAAAAUAUCUCGGAACCUGGUAGGAUUUCGCUGACUCCUCGCCUUUAUCAUCUUCAUUCUGAAAGGGAGAAGGCAUCGGUACCUAUGAUUGCUAUUUGUUGGACUCUUUACCCUUGCUGCUGGAAAUAGUCACUGCUUUCAUCUCCCUCACCUCUGGCUGGUCUCCUCUUAAUUGCUUGAUUCCCUCCGGCAUCAGAAAUUUCAAAAACUAGUGAUAUGUUGAGGGUACAACCUUCAUCUCAUAUCCACAACCUUCUAAGGAUUAUAUUGUAACCCAUAUCGCCAUCUACCACUUUGAAUAGUGGUCUUCGUUAAUCCUUACACAUAUGUGGGCAGCAAAAUCUCUCCUCGGGUUGCUACGCUUGUCACACCUCCUUUUUACCACCCGAGGGGUAAUAUAAGGGAGUUUUUCCAAUUAAAGUGACAUUAUUCGAAAUGAGAUUAUUUUAUUUAAUUUCUUCAGAGUCGCCACUUGGAAUUGUUUAUUUGGUGUCCCAAGUCACUGGUUUAUUUUAAAAUCCCAAUUCGAGAAAAUUUGACUUUAUUUAAAAGUCUGCAAACCGAAAAUUCUAGAUAAGGAAUUCUGUUAACCCGGGAGAAGGUGUUAGGCAUUCCCGGGUUUCGUGGUUCUAGCACAGUCGCUUAAACUAUUAAUAAUUGGCCUAUUAUUUGAUUUACUACACGUUUUAAACCUAUUGUGCAUUUUAAACUUUAUAACCGCUUUUAACUAUUUUAAACCCUUUUUAGGUUUUAUGAAAUUAUUUCUUGAACAAGUUACGAUUGUCGUACACUUGCCGUUUUGGAAUACGCCGCAAAUCACGCUACAUAAAAUGCCCCCGCAAUUUGCAACAUGUUUAUUUUAUUAAAGUUCAAAGUUGUUAUGGUCGGGUCACAUGAAAUGCACACCCGAAUUUUGGAAUUAGACAUUGUAACUAUGUCACGGGAACCGUACCCAUAGUUACAAUGGUUUAAUCGCGCCUAAAAUAAACUACGAUGUUCAUAAAUUAUUUAUUUUUAUGUGUGAGAUUAUUGCAAAGUCAUGGAUUAUAGAAAUUGUUAUGGGUAAAGUGUGGUAAAUUAAUUAUGGAAGGUGGGCUGGCAGAACUCUUUGGCCCAAAUCCAAUAUCCUCAACACCCCAAAGCUCACUUUGUAUAUGAUCACAAAUUAUUUGUUUAAACAAAUUGCUGCCUUCCUUCCUUUUACAACAAUGAACACUCCAAAAUCCCUAUAGGCAUCGUCACACAACCAUUACGCUACUCAAUGACUAAUGAACCACUAAUCAAUUAAUCCAACUGAUUAUAUGAGCUCAAUUUCCACGCGUAUGAUAUCACGAGAAGAAUGAACGAAUAUAACAAAUUCGUUUAUCAAAGAAAUCUGAGUUAAAACAACAUUCUCAUUUUAAUCAAGUUACCAAGAAGUCAAUCUAAGCUAAUUCCAUGUCAGCACUCAGAAACAAGAAGCAAAGCAGAUAUUGCUAAAGUGUGACAGUAUUGCACAAAUGAUAAGGCAAGAGCAUGUCAGAAAUAUAAAUUUAGUUCAUGGAAUUGAAUAUGAGAUUAGUUAUAUGAGAAAAGCUAUCCAAACAUACACUUUAACAUGCUUUUCUGAACCUUCCUCUUUGCUCCCAUCCAUUUUAUCCAAUACUAAAUAACUCAUCAUUUAACUAUAUCAACAACUCUAAUAUCUAAAAAUUCAAGUAUUUCCUCUCUUUUGUGCAUCCUUAACUAACUAAACAAUGGCCUACUUCUUUAAACCAACAACGAACAACAAAAAGGGCAAGAACUAGGGAAAUGAAAUCUCCAGUAUUUCAUAUAACUCAUUCAAACCAAAAUGGGCAAAGUCGAGAAUUCCAAAACCAAUGAAGGUGGACAAUAAACAUGGCAUACUGAUACAACAAUUUCGAACUAAAUCUAAAACGCAGACAAACAAACAAUAAAACCAGGAAAAACGUGAUUUCAAACUAGAAAAAGAAACUUACGAUUACUAGCGGAAUUGAAUCAGUAGGAUAAGUAAAUGAUUAACUCAAUAUCACAAACAAAAAGAACUCACUUCACUGUUCCAACAUUCUUCAUAUCAAAUAAAAGAGCUUAAGUUUCUAACCAUUCUUUCAUAGAUAAGCUAAACAACAACCAAUAAUCCCAUUAAAAAAACAGAUCUGAGAACAAUUUUUAUGAAGAACAUACCUUGCCGCGCAAGGUUCAAAUUUAAAAGAGAAGAAAAGGCAAAUAAGGCUGGAAUUGACGAGUUUGAAGCUCGGCGACAGCAGAAUCAACAAAACCCAGCUUCCAUUUCUGAAAUUGAAAUCAACUAGAACCCCAGAAGUUAUAGAAGUAAUGCAACAGAAAUCGGACCAGAUUUAACAAUUCUUCGUAUUUCUUUCUCUCUUUUUUUACUUUUCUUUAUUUUUGAAGCUCUUGAAAUUUCCAGAUCUUAGUUUGAAUUUUUCAAAUCCAAUCUUAUUUCAGCCAUCUUCUAGUGUGUGUGUGAAGGUGAGAAAAAUGGGAGUGAGUGAAUACGGGUUCAGAGCAGGGGCGACAGCUUCAUGGGUGUAGGAGAAGGGUCUGUUCUUUGAGAGAAUUGGGGGUGAUGGCUUCUGGUUUUUCCUUUUUUUUGAGAAGAUGAGGGCGCCGUAUUUUCUUUUUUCCAAAGAGGGCGGGGGGGAGGGGGGGGGGUCUCAUUCGUUUCUGAAUGUCUUCUUGGGUCUAGAUAUCUUCAUCUAUCAAUAAGUAUCAAUAAGGGUAAAUUUGACUUGUUUGUUUUAGGCCUCUUGGGCAUUCGCCCAAUUCGAAAAUAAG